This 488-nucleotide ribosomal RNA is filed under the name uncultured bacterium. RNAcentral's name for it is "bacterial SSU rRNA". It matches the Rfam family "Bacterial small subunit ribosomal RNA", at positions 30 to 507 of the family's 1533-position model. The record is from RNAcentral.
AUUGAACGCUGGCGGCAUGCCUUACACACGCAAGUCGAACGGUAACGGGUCCUUCGGGAUGCCGACGAGUGGCGAACGGGUGAGUAAUUAUAUCGGAACGUGCCCAGGUAUGGGGGGAGUAACUGCUCGAAAGAGCAGCUAAUACCGCAUACGACCUGAGGGUGAAAGGGGGGGAUCGCAAGACCUCUCGCUAUUGGAGCGGCCGAUAUCAGAUUAGCUAGUUGGUGGGGUAAAGGCCUACCAAGGCAACGAUCUGUAGUUGGUCUGAGAGGACGACCAGCCACACUGGGACUGAGACACGGCCCCAGACUCCUACGGGAGGCAGCAGUGGGGAAUUUUGGACAAUGGGCGCAAGCCUGAUCCAGCAAUGCCGCGUGCAGGAAGAAGGCCUUCGGGUUGUAAACUGCUUUUGUCAGGGAAGAAAUCUUCUGGGCUAAUACCCCGGGAGGAUGACGGUACCUGAAGAAUAAGCACCGGCUAACUACGUG